CCCUUAGAUGUUCGGGGCCGCACGCGCGCUACACUGAACGGAUCAGCGCGUUUUCCCUUCCCGAGAGGGACGGGUAACCUGCUGAACCCCGUUCGUGGUAGGGAUCGGGGCUUGCAAUUAUUCCCCGUGAACCAGGAAUGCCCAGUAAGUGCAAGUCAUAAGCUUGCGUUGAUUACGUCCCUGCCCUUUGUACACACCGCCCGUCGCUACUACCGAUUGAACGUUUUAGUGAGGUACUCGGACUGAGCCUCAGAAGAUUCACGUCUUUUGUGCUGCUCGGGAAGAUUCCCAAACUUGAGCGUUUAGAGGAAGUAAAAGUCGUANCA
RNAcentral lists this ribosomal RNA (326 nucleotides) under uncultured eukaryote. Its description in RNAcentral is "partial 18S ribosomal RNA". It matches the Rfam family "Eukaryotic small subunit ribosomal RNA", at positions 1470 to 1796 of the family's 1831-position model. The record is from RNAcentral.